This 27-nucleotide non-coding RNA is filed under the name Rattus norvegicus (Norway rat). Lineage: Eukaryota; Metazoa; Chordata; Mammalia; Rodentia; Muridae. The record is from RNAcentral.
UGAAUUGGAUCUCUUGGGGAGACAUUU